UCACACAGGUGCUUUUCCGACGAGAUACAAUAACAACUUGUGGCUCAUCCUUAUUGUAGCGAGCAUCACACAGGUGCUUUUCCGACGAGAUACAAUAUCAACUUGUUAACAACAACUUGCACGGCCUCUAACAAGAGUACGGAGAAGAAGAGCAGCGGUCGGUAUUCGAGAUCUGCCGCGUCACAUAAGAAUCACACUCGAACUUUUCUAAAACCGGACAGAAAGAACAACUCGAAAUCUGUCAGACCAUCGGAGAAGUGAACUCGAACGAACCUGAGAGAAAAUGGAGCCUUUGUUUUCGGAAGUAGCAGGGAGCCGAACCGGAGGAAAGAUGAUGAGUUUUCUGCCGUACUUCUCCGCUGAGACCUGGACCCUCCUGGCCCUCCUCAUCACCCUCAUUGUAGUGUACGGGUACUGGCCCUAUGGUGUAUUCACUAAGAUGGGUAUCCCUGGUCCCAAACCCCUACCUUACUUUGGCACAAUGAUGGAGUAUAGAAAGGGCUUCACUAACUUUGACACAGAGUGCUUUCAGAAGUAUGGGAGAAUCUGGGGGUGAGAUCAUUUGACUGUACCGUACUAGGAUGACUCACAACUGUACUAUGCUCUUUCAAUUCAUCACCUGCUGGAGCUGUCAUGUGACCAUGAGGAAUAGUAUUAA
Molecule: long non-coding RNA, 658 nt
Organism: Oncorhynchus keta (chum salmon)
Lineage: Eukaryota; Metazoa; Chordata; Actinopteri; Salmoniformes; Salmonidae
Exons: 3
Source: RefSeq, a predicted model, not a curated record